Salvelinus sp. IW2-2015 is the source of this 320-nucleotide non-coding RNA. NCBI's taxonomy places the organism in Eukaryota, Metazoa, Chordata, Actinopteri, Salmoniformes, Salmonidae. The record is from RefSeq and is a predicted model, not a curated record.
GCACAUGAAAUACAACACCUAUUAAAAACAGAACACAUGCCACUACCAGGGUCGAUGCACGUUCAAGUUGGUGUAUGUUUUUUCUGUGUGCAGCACGCUCCACAGCCGUCUGGCCAGCGAGCUGUCUCCGCUGAAGGAGGAGCUGGAUGCUGUGAGGCAGGACAACAUCCAGCUGGUCAGAGAACACAACCAUGUGAAACAGAGCUGUGAGGAGAUGAGGAGACUACAUGAUGAGGACCAGAGAGAGCUGGGAGACAUGAGGCUGCUUCACCAACAGGUGAUGAGAGAUGGGGUCGUCAGAGAGUCCUCAAACACAGCUG